CGUAGGGUGCAAGCGUUAUCCGGAAUCACUGGGCGUAAAGCGUGCGUAGGUGGGAAUUUAAGUGUGAUGUUAAAUCGUGUGGCUCAACCAUAUCGAUGCAUCGCAUACUGGGUUCCUAGAGGACGGCAGAGGCAAGUGGAAUUAGCAGUGUAGCAGUGAGAUGCGUAGAUAUUGCUAGGAACACCAAUGGCGAAGGCAGCUUGCUGGGCCACUCCUGACACUGAGGUACGAAAGCGUGGGGAGCGAACAGGAUUAGAUACCCUGGUAGUCCACGCCGUAAACGAUGCAUACUAGACGUAUGGGGUAUCGACCCCCUGUGCGUCGAAGCUAACGCGAUAAGUAUGCCGCCUGGGAAGUACGGCCGCAAGGCUA
RNAcentral lists this ribosomal RNA (372 nucleotides) under uncultured organism. Its description in RNAcentral is "bacterial SSU rRNA". It matches the Rfam family "Bacterial small subunit ribosomal RNA", at positions 526 to 896 of the family's 1533-position model. The record is from RNAcentral.